UACGGAGGAUGCAAGCGUUAUCCGGAAUGAUGGGGCGUAAAGGGUCCGCAGGUGGCAGUGUAAGUCUGCUGUCAAAGAAUGAGGCUUAACCUCAUCAAGGCAGUGGAAACUACACAGCUAGAGUACGGUCGGGGUAGAAGGAAUUCCUGGUGUAGCGGUGAAAUGCGCAGAUAUCAGGAGGAACACCGAUGGCGAAGGCAGCUCGCUGGGACGGUACUGACGCUGAGGCGCGAAAGCGUGGGGAGCAAACAGG
This 253-nucleotide ribosomal RNA is filed under the name uncultured bacterium. Its description in RNAcentral is "partial 16S ribosomal RNA". It matches the Rfam family "Bacterial small subunit ribosomal RNA", at positions 524 to 776 of the family's 1533-position model. The record is from RNAcentral.